RNAcentral lists this unclassified non-coding RNA (300 nucleotides) under uncultured Oidiodendron. RNAcentral describes it as "sequence contains 5.8S rRNA gene, ITS2". The stretch from base 1 to 100 matches the Rfam family "5.8S ribosomal RNA", at positions 50 to 154 of the family's 154-position model. Lineage: Eukaryota; Fungi; Ascomycota; Leotiomycetes; Myxotrichaceae. The record is from RNAcentral.
CGGCAGCGGCAGAUGUGUAUAAGAGACAGGUGAGUCAUCGAAUCUUUGAACGCACAUUGCGCCCUGUGGUAUUCCGCAGGGCAUGCCUGUUCGAGCGUCAUUUCAACCCUCAAGCUCUGCUUGGUGUUGGGCCCUGCCCCCGCGGCCGGCCCUAAAGACAGUGGCGGCGCCGUCUGGCUCUAAGCGUAGUACAUCUCUCGCUCUAGCGCCCGGCGGUGGCCUGCCAGAACCCCAACUCUGUGGUUGACCUCGGAUCAGGUAGGGAUACCCGCUGAACUUAAGCAUAUCAAUAAGCGGAGG